This 74-nucleotide transfer RNA is filed under the name Bradyrhizobium sp. C9. RNAcentral describes it as "tRNA-Gly". It matches the Rfam family "tRNA". From Rfam's summary of the family: Transfer RNA (tRNA) molecules are approximately 80 nucleotides in length. Their secondary structure includes four short double-helical elements and three loops (D, anti-codon, and T loops). Lineage: Bacteria; Pseudomonadati; Pseudomonadota; Alphaproteobacteria; Hyphomicrobiales; Nitrobacteraceae. The record is from RNAcentral.
GCGGACAAAAGAUUACGGUAGUCGGUCGGUGUGCCACACCGGCAGCGCGGGUUCGACUCCCGCUGUCCGCACCA